GCUGGGAUGGUUUAGUCGGUCAAGCAUGAGGCUCUUAAUCUCAGGGUUGUGGGUUUAAGCCCCACAUUGGGCA
Podarcis lilfordi (Lilford's wall lizard) is the source of this 73-nucleotide non-coding RNA. NCBI's taxonomy places the organism in Eukaryota, Metazoa, Chordata, Lepidosauria, Squamata, Lacertidae. The record is from the annotation of a GenBank genome assembly.